CUGUAUGUAUACCAUAGGUACUGUAUGUACACCAUAGGUACUGUAUGUAUACCAUAGGUACUGUAUGUACACCAUAGGUACUGUAUGUAUACCAUAGGUACUGUAUGUACACCAUAGGUACUGUAUGUACACCAUAGGUACUGUAUGUACACCAUAGGUACUGUAUGUAUACCAUAGGUACUGUAUGUACACCAUAGGUACUGUAUGUACACCAUAGGUACUGUAUGUAUACCAUAGGUACUGUAUGUACACCAUAGGUACUGUAUGUACACCAUAGGUACUGUAUGUAUACCAUAGGUACUGUAUGUACACCAUAGGUACUGUAUGUACACCAUAGGUACUGUAUGUACACCAUAGGUACUGUAUGUAUACCAUAGGUACUGUAUGUACACCAUAGGUACUGUAUGUACACCAUAGGUACUGUAUGUAUACCAUAGGUACUGUAUGUACACCAUAGGUACUGUAUGUAUACCAUAGGUACUGUAUGUACACCAUAGGUACUGUAUGUAUACCAUAGGUACUGUAUGUACACCAUAGGUACUGUAUGUACACCAUAGGUACUGUAUGUAUACCAUAGGUACUGUAUGUAUACCAUAGGUACUGUAUGUAUACCAUAGGUACUGUAUGUACACCAUAGGUACUGUAUGUACACCAUAGGUACUGUAUGUACACCAUAGGUACUGUAUGUAUACCAUAGGUACUGUAUGUACACCAUAGGUACUGUAUGUACACCAUAGGUACUGUAUGUAUAACAUAGGUACUGUAUGUACACCAUAGGUACUGUAUGUACACCAUAGGUACUGUAUGUACACCAUAGGUACUGUAUGUAUACCAUAGGUACUGUAUGUACACCAUAGGUACUGUAUGUACACCAUAGGUACUGUUUGUACACCAUACGUUGGUUGUUGAUGCAGUACUGGUAUACAUUUUUAUUUCUGUGCUUUUUUUCUAGUGAGAUUGUCAUUGGUCUUGAGCUCACCGACGAGUGUGUGUGCCUUGCUGAUGUAGUAUCUGUGCUGCUGCUGCUGUGGUGGUGACAUCAUCACUAAGGGCCUGGCUGUAACCCUUACUGUUCAUCCUCUCUGCUAGAGUGGUUUCUUAAGUGUGAAGGAUCACUAAGAAGAGCUCCCCGGUUGGGUUUAGGUUGUGUAUGAAAUGGCACCCCGAAGUAGUGCACUAUAUAUUCGAGCCCUCAAACUCAACUCUGUAGUGCACUAUAUAUUAGGGCCCUCAAACUCAACUCUGGACCUCAGAGCCAGUUCCAAUGCAUUUUUGCAUUGUUCCCCUCUAAUCGGGGACUGAUUUAGACCUGGGACACCGGGUGGGUGAUUCCCCUCUAACCAGGGCCUGAUUUAGACCUGGGACAACAGGUGGGUGAUUCCCCUCUAACCAGGGACUGAUUUAGACCUGGGACACCAGGUGGGUGAUUCUCCUCUAAUCAGGGCCUGAUUUAGACCUGGGACAACAGGUGGGUGAUUCCCCUCUAACCAGGGCCUGAUUUAAACCUGGGACAACAGGUGGGUGAUUCCCCUCUAACCAGGGACUGAUUUAGACCUGGGACACCAGGUGGGUGAUUCCCCUCUAAUCAGGGCCUGAUUUAGACCUGGGACACCAGGUGGGUGAUUCUCCUCUAAUCAGGGCCUUAUUUAGACCUGGGACACCAGGUGGGGUGAUAUUAAUUAUUAGUUAGAACAGAAAAGCAGACUACCUCAUAGGGGUCAGAGUUGAAUACCCCUGGGAAUAGGGUACCAUUUUAGACCCUGGUUCGUUGUUGCUGUUUUUUUGCUCUGAAAACAGACCUGUUAUUGAUAGUAUUAUCGGCCUUGGAGACUAAAGCGAAAAUACACAUUCUCUUUCUCUCUGAACAAGUUGACUUGACAAUCUUCAAUAAAAAUAAAAAAAAUCAAUGAUGAGGCAAUAACCAUUGUCAAUGUUUCAAUAACCUCAGAAAUACUGAGGGCUGAGUGAGGCUGUCGAACUGUAGAUGUCUCUGUCUAUUCUGUAUGUAUCUCUACACCUGUCUGUCUCAUGUUGUUUUCUCUCUGCAUUUUAAAUGGCACCCUCUUCACUAUUUAGUGCACUACUUUUGACCAGUGCCCUGCUCAACAGUAGUGCACUAUAUAGGGAAUAUAAUGCCAAUGGGCCCUGGUCAAACGUAGUGCACUAUAUAGGGAAUAUAAUGCCAAUGGGCCCUGGUCAAACGUAGUGCACUAUAUAGGGAAUAUUGUGCUAUUUGGGAUGCAUCCCUUUGUCUCCUUCCUACCGUAUGUGUCAGUACUUUCCUUACGGUCUAGUUAAGACCGAUAGGCCAAAGGUCCUUACAAUAACAGUGUUAUUAGAAGCACAACUUAAAUUAGAGCCCGAACAGUGUUCAGUGUAAAGACAGUACAGUAGAACACCUGGUACGGAGUACAGUAGAACACCUGGUACGGAGUACAGUAGAACACCUGGUACGGAGUACAGUAGAACACCUGGUACGGAGUACAGUAGGAACACCUGGUUCGGAGUACAGUAGAACACCUGGUACGGAGUACAGUAGAACACCUGGUUCGGAGUACAGUAGAACACCUGGUACGGAGUACAGUAGGAACACCUGGUUCGGAGUACAGUAGAACACCUGGUACGGAGUACAGUAGAACACCUGGUACGGAGUACAGUAGAACACCUGGUACGGGGUACAGUAGGAACACCUGGUACGGAGUACAGUAGAACACCUGGUACGGAGUACAGUAGAACACCUGGUACGGAGUACAGUAGAACACCUGGUACGGGGUACAGUAGAACACCUGGUACGGGGUACAGUAGAACACCUGGUACGGAGUAUAGCUGCAGCUGUUUUUGUGGUUGUCCAAGGUAAUCCAGUGGUCUGUAAUCUCUCCCUAUUCUUUUUGUAGUACUAGUUGAAAGUAGUGUACUGUGUAGGAGAUAGGGGGGACAUUUGGGAGGAACUUUAACCCAGGAUUUGCUGCUGUGAUGGUUUUGACUGGUUUUUAAUUUAUUUUAACUAUUUAUUUGUCUGAGGUAUUUGAGCCUCAGUGAGGACUGUACAGACAAUGUUUACCUGUGUUGGUUUGUGUUCCACCACAGAAUUUGAAUAAAUUAUGAUUCCAGAAUUAGAAUUCUAAUUCUGUGGUUUCCACCCUG
Long non-coding RNA from Oncorhynchus keta (chum salmon), 3144 nucleotides. RefSeq lists it as uncharacterized. NCBI's taxonomy places the organism in Eukaryota, Metazoa, Chordata, Actinopteri, Salmoniformes, Salmonidae. The transcript has 6 exons. The record is from RefSeq and is a predicted model, not a curated record.